ACGGCCCCUCAAGGCCUGCAGGUGAGGCUGCUGUGUGCCACAUGUCAGCAGGCGGCCGAGAGGAGAGAGGCCAUGUCUGUGCUCCGUGUUCCGACCUGUGACAUCUGACACUCCCUGAGAGCCAGCCUCG
Small nucleolar RNA from Psammomys obesus (fat sand rat), 130 nucleotides. RefSeq annotates it as small nucleolar RNA SNORA17. NCBI's taxonomy places the organism in Eukaryota, Metazoa, Chordata, Mammalia, Rodentia, Muridae. The record is from RefSeq and is a predicted model, not a curated record. The transcript has a single exon.